GUGCAGCAGGCGAGAAUUUUUCUCAAUGGGGGAAACCCUGAAGGAGCGGCGCCGCGUGGAGGAUGAAGGUCUUCGGAUUGUAAACUCCUGUCAUUUGGGAACAAGUUGCAUCGGUUAACUGCCGAUGCAUUGAUAGUACCAGAAGAGGAAGAGACGGCUAACUCUGUGCCAGCAGCCGCGGUAAUACAGAGGUCUCAAGCGUUGUUCGGAUUCAUUGGGCGUAAAGGGUGCGUAGGUGGCGGGGUAAGUCUGGUGUGAAAUCUCGGGGCUCAACCCCGAAACUGCACUGGAUACUGCCUUGCUCGAGUACUGGAGAGGAGAUUGGAAUUUACGGUGUAGCAAUGAAAUGCGUAGAUAUCGUAAGGAAGACCAGUGGCGAAGGCGAGUCUCUGGACAGUUACUGACACUGAGGCACGAAGGCCAGGGGAGCAAACGGGAUUAGAUACCCGCGUAGU
Molecule: ribosomal RNA, 455 nt
Filed under: uncultured organism
Description: bacterial SSU rRNA
Rfam family: Bacterial small subunit ribosomal RNA
Source: RNAcentral